This 348-nucleotide unclassified non-coding RNA is filed under the name soil metagenome. RNAcentral describes it as "partial contains 5.8S ribosomal RNA, internal transcribed spacer 2, and large subunit ribosomal RNA". The stretch from base 1 to 120 matches the Rfam family "5.8S ribosomal RNA", at positions 35 to 154 of the family's 154-position model. The record is from RNAcentral.
GAUGAAGAACGCAGCGAAAUGCGAUAAGUAAUGUGAAUUGCAGAAUUCCGUGAAUCAUCGAGUCUUUGAACGCACAUUGCGCCCCCUGGUAUUCCGGGGGGCAUGCCUGUCCGAGCGUCAUUGCUGCCCUCAAGCACGGCUUGUGUGUUGGGCCCCGCCCCCCGGCUCCCGGGGGGCGGGCCCGAAAGGCAGCGGCGGCACCGCGUCCGGUCCUCGAGCGUAUGGGGCUUCGUCACCCGCUCCGUAGGCCCGGCCGGCGCCCGCCGGCGACCCCCCUCAAUCUUUUCAGGUUGACCUCAAAUCAGGUAGGAUUACCCGCUGAACUUAAGCAUAUCAAUAAGCGGAGGA